CAGCCGCCGCGGUAAUACGUAGGUGGCAAGCGUUGUCCGGAAUUACUGGGCGUAAAGCGCGCGCAGGCGGAUCAGUCAGUCUGUCUUAAAAGUUCGGGGCUUAACCCCGUGAGGGGAUGGAAACUGCUGAUCUAGAGUAUCGGAGAGGAAAGUGGAAUUCCUAGUGUAGCGGUGAAAUGCGUAGAUAUUAGGAAGAACACCAGUGGCGAAGGCGACUUUCUGGACGAAAACUGACGCUGAGGCGCGAAAGCCAGGGGAGCGAACGGGAUUAGAUACCCCCGUAGUCCCUGUCUCUUAUACA
This 301-nucleotide ribosomal RNA is filed under the name uncultured bacterium. RNAcentral describes it as "partial 16S ribosomal RNA". It matches the Rfam family "Bacterial small subunit ribosomal RNA", at positions 509 to 809 of the family's 1533-position model. The record is from RNAcentral.